RNAcentral lists this ribosomal RNA (253 nucleotides) under uncultured bacterium. RNAcentral describes it as "partial 16S ribosomal RNA". It matches the Rfam family "Bacterial small subunit ribosomal RNA", at positions 524 to 776 of the family's 1533-position model. The record is from RNAcentral.
UACGGGGGGGGCAAGCGUUGUUCGGAAUUACUGGGCGUAAAGGGCUCGUAGGUGGCCAACUAAGUCAGACGUGAAAUCCCUCGGCUUAACCGGGGAACUGCGUCUGAUACUGGAUGGCUUGAGUUCGGGAGAGGGAUGCGGAAUUCCAGGUGUAGCGGUGAAAUGCGUAGAUAUCAGGAGGAACACCGGUGGCGAAGGCGGGUCUCUGGGCAACAACUGACGCUGAGGAGCGAAAGCGUGGGGAGCGAACAGG